GUGCCAGCCGCCGCGGUAAUACGUAGGGUCCGAGCGUUGUCCGGAAUUAUUGGGCGUAAAGGGCUCGUAGGCGGUUUGUCGCGUCGGGAGUGAAAUCUUACAGCUUAACUGUGAACUUGCUUUCGAUACGGGCAGACUUGAGGCAUUCAGGGGAGAACGGAAUUCCUGGUGUAGCGGUGAAAUGCGCAGAUAUCAGGAGGAACACCGGUGGCGAAGGCGGUUCUCUGGGAAUGUUCUGACGCUGAGGAGCGAAAGUGUGGGGAGCGAACAGGAUUAGAAACCCUAGUAGUCC
Molecule: ribosomal RNA, 292 nt
Filed under: uncultured bacterium
Lineage: Bacteria
Description: partial 16S ribosomal RNA
Rfam family: Bacterial small subunit ribosomal RNA
Source: RNAcentral